Molecule: ribosomal RNA, 490 nt
Filed under: uncultured bacterium
Lineage: Bacteria
Description: partial 16S ribosomal RNA
Rfam family: Bacterial small subunit ribosomal RNA
Source: RNAcentral
GAUGAACGCUAGCUACAGGCUUAACACAUGCAAGUCGCGGGGCAGCAUGGGGGUUGCUUGCAAUCCCCGAUGGCGACCGGCGCACGGGUGAGUAACGCGUAUCCAACCUGCCCUUCACCACGGGAUAACCCGGCGAAAGUCGGACUAAUACCGUAUGUUGUCCAUUGACGGCAUCCGAUUUGGACGAAAGGUUUGGCGGUGAAGGAUGGGGAUGCGUCCGAUUAGCUGGACGGCGGGGUGACGGCCCACCGUGGCGACGAUCGGUAGGGGUUCUGAGAGGAAGGUCCCCCACACUGGAACUGAGACACGGUCCAGACUCCUACGGGAGGCAGCAGUGAGGAAUAUUGGUCAAUGGGCGUAAGCCUGAACCAGCCAAGUAGCGUGCAGGAUGACGGCCCUAUGGGUUGUAAACUGCCUUUAUGCGGGGAUAAAGUGGCCCACGUGUGGGUUUUUGCAGGUACCGCAUGAAUAAGGACCGGCUAAUUCCGUG